RNAcentral lists this ribosomal RNA (447 nucleotides) under uncultured bacterium. RNAcentral's name for it is "bacterial SSU rRNA". It matches the Rfam family "Bacterial small subunit ribosomal RNA", at positions 97 to 516 of the family's 1533-position model. The record is from RNAcentral.
GGCAAACGGGUGAGUAACACGUGGGUGACCUGCCUUCGAGUGGGGGAUAACGUCCCGAAAGGGACGCUAAUACCGCAUGACAUCCUGCCUUUGAACAGGUGGAGAUCAAAGCUGGGGAUCGCAAGACCUAGCGCUUGAAGAGGGGCCCGUCGCCGAUUAGCUAGUUGGUGAGGUAACGGUCACCAAGGCGACGAUCGGUACGCCGGCUCUGAUGGAGGGCGGACGGCCACUUUGGGCACUGAACGCCCCUGCUACCANCCCUCAUACGGGAGGCGCAGUGGGGAAUUGUUCGCAAUGGGCGCAAGCCUGACGACGCAUGCCGCGUGGAGGACGAAGAUCUUCGGGUCGUAACUCCUGUCGAGCGGGAACGCACCGCUUCCCGGGUGAUAAUCCGGGGAAUUGACGGUACCGCUAAAGGAAGCCCCGGUUAACUCCGUGCCAGCCGCC